RNAcentral lists this ribosomal RNA (1432 nucleotides) under uncultured cyanobacterium. RNAcentral's name for it is "bacterial SSU rRNA". It matches the Rfam family "Bacterial small subunit ribosomal RNA". Lineage: Bacteria; Bacillati; Cyanobacteriota. The record is from RNAcentral.
AGAGUUUGAUUUCCGGCUCAGGAUGAACGCUGGCGGCGUGCUUAACACAUGCAAGUCGAACGAACCUUCGGGUUAGUGGCGGACGGGUGAGUAACGCGUGAGAAUCUGCCCUCAGGAGGGGGAUAACGGCUGGAAACGGCCGCUAAUACCCCAUAUGCCGCGAGGUGAAAUGAAUUUCGCCUGAGGAUGAGCUCGCGUCUGAUUAGCUAGUUGGUGGGGUAAAGGCCUACCAAGGCUUCGAUCAGUAGCUGGUCUGAGAGGAUGAUCAGCCACACUGGGACUGAGACACGGCCCAGACUCCUACGGGAGGCAGCAGUGGGGAAUUUUCCGCAAUGGGCGAAAGCCUGACGGAGCAACGCCGCGUGAGGGAUGAAGGCCUCUGGGCUGUAAACCUCUUUUAUCAAGGAAGAAGAUCUGACGGUACUUGAUGAAUAAGCCACGGCUAAUUCCGUGCCAGCAGCCGCGGUAAUACGGGAGUGGCAAGCGUUAUCCGGAAUUAUUGGGCGUAAAGCGUCCGCAGGCGGUCUUUUAAGUCUGUCGUCAAAGCGUGGAGCUUAACUCCAUUUCUGCGAUGGAAACUGGGAGACUAGAGUGUGGUAGGGGCAGAGGGAAUUCCCGGUGUAGCGGUGAAAUGCGUAGAUAUCGGGAAGAACACCAGUGGCGAAGGCGCUCUGCUGGGCCAUAACUGACGCUCAUGGACGAAAGCCAGGGGAGCGAAAGGGAUUAGAUACCCCUGUAGUCCUGGCCGUAAACGAUGAACACUAGGUGUCGGGGGAAUCGACCCCCUCGGUGUCGUAGCCAACGCGUUAAGUGUUCCGCCUGGGGAGUACGCACGCAAGUGUGAAACUCAAAGGAAUUGACGGGGGCCCGCACAAGCGGUGGAGUAUGUGGUUUAAUUCGAUGCAACGCGAAGAACCUUACCAGGGCUUGACAUCCUGCGAAUCUCUUGGAAACGAGAGAGUGCCUUCGGGAACGCAGUGACAGGUGGUGCAUGGCUGUCGUCAGCUCGUGUCGUGAGAUGUUGGGUUAAGUCCCGCAACGAGCGCAACCCACGUCGUUAGUUGCCAGCAUUGAGUUGGGCACUCUAGCGAGACCGCCGGUGAUAAACCGGAGGAAGGUGUGGAUGACGUCAAGUCAUCAUGCCCCUUACAUCCUGGGCUACACACGUACUACAAUGCUACGGACAAAGGGCAGCAAGCUCGCGAGAGUUAGCAAAUCCCAUAAACCGUGGCUCAGUUCAGAUCGUAGGCUGCAACUCGCCUACGUGAAGGAGGAAUCGCUAGUAAUCGCAGGUCAGCAUACUGCGGUGAAUACGUUCCCGGGCCUUGUACACACCGCCCGUCACACCAUGGAAGUUGGCCACGCCCGAAGCCGUUACUCCAACCCUUGUGGAGGAGGACGUCGAAGGUGGGGCUGAUGACUGGGGUGAAGU